This is a long non-coding RNA of Parus major (Great Tit), 1176 nucleotides long. RefSeq lists it as uncharacterized. Lineage: Eukaryota; Metazoa; Chordata; Aves; Passeriformes; Paridae. The transcript has 2 exons. The record is from RefSeq and is a predicted model, not a curated record.
GCGGGGAGUUCGGUCUGCGAGCAGAGUGCCCAUGGACCGGCACCGAGCUGCGGGCCGUGCGGCUUGCACUGCGGCUGGAAGGAGAUCCAGGCUGCGCAUCCGUCUCCAGAGCCGCGAGACAAGCCUGCUGUGCAAGAUUCCCUCCGUGCCUGGACUUCCUCCAGAGAAGGCAUCCUGAGUGGAAUCCCGUGUCCUGCACCACCACCUGACAAACAUUUUGGACAAAAUCUUGGACUAGGCAACCUGCAGAACCAGCCCUGCCAGCUUAAAGAAUGCCAGUACUGCUAUCUGUAAUAUUCUGUGUAAAUUCACAAAAUUAGUCUGUAAAAACUAGCGGUAUCAAAAAGUUGCUUUAACAGUUCAAAGUAGGCACUGCACAGAGAGGAGAUAUUCCCUAUAUGUAUGUAUUGGGGUUUUUGUUGGAGGUUUUCUUUAGCACUUUAACUAAGAGUGGAGAUGACCAAAGCCACUGUUUUCCAGAUGCUUUUCUUGGAUUCAGAAACACCAGGAGACAACUGACUCAAAGGAAAAGGAGUGACCCACCCCAGAUCUCUUCUCACACCCUACCUUAGGCUGGCCUAGGGAAAGGCUGCAAAGCACAAGUAACAGUAACACUGAACUGGAGGCACAGGACAAAAUAAGAAAGUGGUUUUUGAACGCCUGAAUAUCUGAGUCUGCCCUGUGCUAUGCACCCCACCCUUUUUGCCCAUCCCUCAAUCUCUGUUUUUCAAAAGCUUUGAGCCGUGUAAUUUCUGAUCUCUUAAACUCAGCUUCAAAAGUGUAAAACACUGGCUGCCAUUGCAACAUGCACCUUUCUUCUUCCUUGACUGAGCCCCUCCUACACUAAUUCUGCCUUCAGCUGCAAGCUCUCUGUCCCAGGGACCACCUAUGACAAUUAUGUUCAUAAAGAACCUUCCUGGAGUGGAUCCCACUAUUUGACAACACACUUCUAGACCCACUGUGCACAACACUACAAUAAUCCACGUUUAUGUUAGGUGUAACUUCCUUGAGCAACAAAUGAAGAACAGUUCAACUUGCUGUCAUGUAGAUCUGCUUGAAAAGACAGCAGUGUAUAUAUGAAGUACCAUUAAUAAAGUGUUAAAGUUUCGUUCCCAGUGUUAUCCAGGGAUUCCAGAAAUAUUUUUAUAACACAUUAAAGGAGCAGAUGAAAUUGAA